Molecule: ribosomal RNA, 350 nt
Filed under: uncultured bacterium
Lineage: Bacteria
Description: bacterial SSU rRNA
Rfam family: Bacterial small subunit ribosomal RNA
Source: RNAcentral
UGGGGAAUCUUGGACAAUGGGCGCAAGCCUGAUCCAGCCAUGCCGCGUGAGUGAUGAAGGCCUUAGGGUCGUAAAGCUCUUUCGCCAGAGAUGAUAAUGACAGUAUCUGGUAAAGAAACCCCGGCUAACUCCGUGCCAGCAGCCGCGGUAAUACGGAGGGGGUUAGCGUUGUUCGGAAUUACUGGGCGUAAAGCGCGCGUAGGCGGACUAGUCAGUCAGGGGUGAAAUCCCGGGGCUCAACCCCGGAACUGCCUUUGAUACUGCUAGUCUAGAGUUCGAGAGAGGUGAGUGGAAUUCCGAGUGUAGAGGUGAAAUUCGUAGAUAUUCGGAGGAACACCAGUGGCGAAGGC